GCUCAGGAUGAACGCUGGCGGCGUGCCUAAUACAUGCAAGUCGAACGCAUUGUGGUUGAAAUGAUAUGAAGAACUUGUUCAGAUUUGAUUUUCAACAUUGCAAUGAGUGGCGAACGGGUGAGUAACACGUGGGAAACCUACCUCUUAGCAGGGGAUAACAUUUGGAAACAAAUGCUAAUACCGUAUAAUAAUUAAAACCGCAUGGUUUUAGUUUAAAAGAUGGUCUUGCUAUCACUAAGAGAUGGUCCCGCGGUGUAUUAGUUAGUUGGUGAGGUAAUGGCUCACCAAGACAAUGAUACAUAGCCGAGUUGAGAGACUGACCGGCCACAAUGGGACUGAGACACGGCCCAUACUCCUACGGGAGGCAGCAGUAGGGAAUCUUCCACAAUGGACGAAAGUCUGAUGGAGCAACGCCGCGUGUGUGAUGAAGGGUUUCGGCUCGUAAAACACUGUUGUAAGAGAAGAAUGACAUUGAGAGUAACUGUUCAAUGUGUGACGGUAUCUUACCAGAAAGGAACGGCUAAAUACGUGCCAGCAGCCGCGGUAAUACGUAUGUUCCAAGCGUUAUCCGGAUUUAUUGGGCGUAAAGCGAGCGCAGACGGUUAUUUAAGUCUGAAGUGAAAGCCCUCGGCUCAACCGAGGAAUUGCUUUGGAAACUGGAUAACUUGAGUGCAGUAGAGGAAAGUGGAACUCCAUGUGUAGCGGUGAAAUGCGUAGAUAUAUGGAAGAACACCAGUGGCGAAGGCGGCUUUCUGGACUGUAACUGACGUUGAGGCUCGAAAGUGUGGGUAGCAAACAGGAUUAGAUACCCUGGUAGUCCACACUGUAAACGAUGAGUGCUAGUUGUUCGAGGGUUUCCGCCCUUGAGUGACGAAGCUAACGCAUUAAGCACUCCGCCUGGGGGAGUACGACCGCAAGGUUGAAACUCAAAGGAAUUGACGGGGACCCGCACAAGCGGUGGAGCAUGUGGUUUAAUUCGAAGCAACGCGAAGAACCUUACCAGGUCUUGACAUCCUUUGACCACUCCAGAGAUGGAGCUUUCCCUUCGGGGACAAAGUGACAGGUGGUGCAUGGUUGUCGUCAGCUCGUGUCGUGAGAUGUUGGGUUAAGUCCCGCAACGAGCGCAACCCUUAUUGUUAGUUGCCAGCAUUUAGUUGGGCACUCUAGCAAGACUGCCGGUGACAAACCGGAGGAAGGCGGGGAUGACGUCAAAUCAUCAUGCCCCUUAUGACCUGGGCUACACACGUGCUACAAUGGCAAGUACAACGAGUCGCCAACCCGCGAGGGUGCGCAAAUCUCUUAAAGCUUGUCUCAGUUCGGACUGUAGGCUGCAACUCGCCUACACGAAGUCGGAAUCGCUAGUAAUCGCGGAUCAGCACGCCGCGGUGAAUACGUUCCCGGGUCUUGUACACACCGCCCGUCACACCAUGAGAGUUUGUAACACCCAAAGUCGGUGAGGUAACCUUUUAUUAGGAGCCAGCCGCCUAAGGUGGGACAGAUGAUUAGGGUGAAGUCGUA
This 1518-nucleotide ribosomal RNA is filed under the name Weissella koreensis. RNAcentral describes it as "bacterial SSU rRNA". It matches the Rfam family "Bacterial small subunit ribosomal RNA". The record is from RNAcentral. Lineage: Bacteria; Bacillati; Bacillota; Bacilli; Lactobacillales; Lactobacillaceae.